Molecule: ribosomal RNA, 490 nt
Filed under: uncultured organism
Description: bacterial SSU rRNA
Rfam family: Bacterial small subunit ribosomal RNA
Source: RNAcentral
GAUGAACGCUAGCUACAGGCUUAACACAUGCAAGUCGAGGGGUAACAAGAGGAAAGCUUGCUUUUCUUGUUGACGACCGGCGCACGGGUGAGUAACGCGUAUCCAACCUGCCUAUAACUAGGGAAUAACCUUGCGAAAGUAAGACUAAUACCCUAUGAUUUCCUUUGAUGACAUCAGAUUAGGAAUAAAGAUUUAUCGGUUAUAGAUGGGGAUGCGUCUGAUUAGCUUGUUGGCGGGGUAACGGCCCACCAAGGCAACGAUCAGUAGGGGUUCUGAGAGGAAGGUCCCCCACAUUGGAACUGAGACACGGUCCAAACUCCUACGGGAGGCAGCAGUGAGGAAUAUUGGUCAAUGGGCGGAAGCCUGAACCAGCCAAGUAGCGUGCAGGAUGACGGCCCUAUGGGUUGUAAACUGCUUUUAUACAGGAAUAAAGUUAGCCACGUGUGGUUAUUUGUAGGUACUGUAUGAAUAAGGACCGGCUAAUUCCGUG